CGGAAACAAAUUCCUCGGCUUGGUUGAGGUAAUUACCUCUCUGAAAGUCCAUGUCCCUGAAGUCGGAUGAGAACGAAACUGUCCCAAAUCUUUAAAUGCUUGGGCUCCUAGUCUCCGAGCAGUAACAAAUGCCUCGGCUCUCUGAAAGUCCCUAUCCCUGAAGUAGCAUGAGAACGAGACUGUCUCAAAUCUGUAAAUUCUCAGGCUCCUAGUCACCGAGCAGUAACAAAUGCCUCGGCUUGGUUGAGGUAAUUUAACUUACCUCUCCGAAAGUCCUUGUCCCUGAAGUAGAAUGAGAACGAGACUGUCCCAAUUCUGUAAAUUCUCGGGCUUCUAGUCACCGAGCGGAAACAAAUGCCUCGGCUUGGUUGAGGUAAAUUAACUUACCUCUCCGAAAGUCCCUGUCCCUGAAGUAGAAUGAGAACGAGAUUGUCCCAAUUCUGUAAAUUCUCGAGCUUCUAGUCACCGAGCGGAAACAAAUGCCUCGGCUUGGUUGAGGUAAUUUAAAUUACCUCUCUGAAAGUCCCUGUCCCUGAUGGUAUAAUGAGAACGAGACUGUCAGAAAUCUGUGAAGUUUCGGGUUCCUAGUCACCGGGAGAAAAACAAAUGCCUUGUGUUUGUUGAGGCAAUUAAAAUUACUUAUGCCAGAAGAGAUCUUCUAAUUGACGCAAAUCAGGUAGUUCCUUACCUCUUGACUUGCUUACAAGAGUUUUUCAAGUUCAGUAUGCAGAAGUGUGAAUGGUCAAGCUUAUGGACAAAGGUAUGUGGUUGCUUGAUAUUCUAUUUCUUUGGGAAUUCAGGUAUGUAAACUUAUAUUUCUUCUAAGCUUAAUCAUU
RNAcentral lists this long non-coding RNA (836 nucleotides) under Capsella rubella. Its description in RNAcentral is "long non-coding RNA (CRUB_LNC000760)". Lineage: Eukaryota; Viridiplantae; Streptophyta; Magnoliopsida; Brassicales; Brassicaceae. The record is from RNAcentral.